GCUCAGACACUCAAUGAUUGACGGGCCGCACAAGCGUGGAGUAUGUGGUUUAAUCGAUGCAACGCGAAGAACCUUACCUGGUCUUGACAUCCCGGAGACCCUUAGGAAACUAGGGGUGCUUCCAUCUGGAAGAAUCUGGAGACAGGUGCUGCAUGGCUGUCGUCAGCUCGUGUCGUGAGAUGUUGGGUUAAGUCCCGCAACGAGCGCAACCCUUGCCUUUAGUUGCCAGCAGUUCGGCUGGGCACUCUAAAGGGACUGCCGGUGUUAAACCGGAGGAAGGUGGGGAUGACGUCAAGUCCUCAUGGCCUUUAUGACCAGGGCUACACACGUACUACAAUGGCCGAUACAAAGGGCAGCGACACUGCGAGGUGAAGCCAAUCCCGUAAAAUCGGUCUCAGUCCGGAUUGGAGCCUGCAACUCGACUCCAUGAAGUUGGAAUCGCUAGUAAUCGUGGAUCAGCAUGCCACGGUGAAUACGUUCCCGGGCCUU
Molecule: ribosomal RNA, 489 nt
Filed under: uncultured Desulfobulbus sp.
Lineage: Bacteria; Pseudomonadati; Thermodesulfobacteriota; Desulfobulbia; Desulfobulbales; Desulfobulbaceae
Description: bacterial SSU rRNA
Rfam family: Bacterial small subunit ribosomal RNA
Source: RNAcentral